Peromyscus maniculatus bairdii (prairie deer mouse) is the source of this 418-nucleotide non-coding RNA. NCBI's taxonomy places the organism in Eukaryota, Metazoa, Chordata, Mammalia, Rodentia, Cricetidae. The record is from RefSeq and is a predicted model, not a curated record.
GGGCUGGACCUUCGCCUCGGCGGCGGAGGAGCUCGGGGGCCAUUUUGUGAAGAGACGGCGAGCGAACGGUCGUGCGCUGCUUGGCCGCUGUAGCUUCGGCGUCUCGGCACGGACCCGCGGUAGGGGAGGCAGUCUCUUCUCUCGCCCCAUCUUCUCGUGAGAUUUUUUUGAUCUUCAGCUACACUUUGUGAGAGACCUUGUAAUCAAAGGAGAUGGCUAGCAAUGUUACCAACAAAACAGACCCUCGAUCCAUGAAUUCCCGUGUAUUCAUUGGGAAUCUCAAUACACUUGUGGUCAAGAAGUCUGAUGUGGAGGCAAUCUUUUCAAAGUAUGGCAAAAUUGUGGGUUGCUCUGUGCAUAAGGGCUUUGCCUUCGUCCAAUAUGUUAAUGAAAGAAAUGCCCGAGCUGCUGUAGCUGG